RNAcentral lists this ribosomal RNA (272 nucleotides) under uncultured bacterium. Its description in RNAcentral is "partial 16S ribosomal RNA". It matches the Rfam family "Bacterial small subunit ribosomal RNA", at positions 958 to 1230 of the family's 1533-position model. The record is from RNAcentral.
AACGCGAAAAACCUUACCUACCUUUGACAUGUACGGAACUCGCCAGAGAUGGCUUGGUGCUCGAAAGAGAACCGUAACACAGGUGCUGCAUGGCUGUCGUCAGCUCGUGUCGUGAGAUGUUGGGUUAAGUCCCGCAACGAGCGCAACCCUUGUCAUUAGUUGCUACAUUUGGUUGGGCACUCUAAUGAGACUGCCGGUGACAAACCGGAGGAAGGUGGGGAUGACGUCGAGUCCUCAUGGCCCUUAUAGGUAGGGCUACACACGUCAUACAA